GGACGAACGCUGGCGGCGUGCUUAACACAUGCAAGUCGAACGGUCCGGCACUCAACUGAAGGAGUCAGCUUUAAGAGGUUAUUCCGAGGUUGACUUACUCAGUUGAGUACCGGAUAGUGGCGGACGGGUGAGUAACACGUGAAUAACCUGUCCCCAAGCUCGGGAUAACAUUCCGAAAGGGAUGCUAAUACCGGAUGAGCUUUUCAGGGCCCAAGCCCUAAAAAGCAAAGGGAUUACCGCUAGGGGAGGGGUUCGCGACCCAUCAGCUAGUUGGUGAGAUAACAGCUCACCAAGGCAACGACGGGUAGCCGGCCUGAGAGGGUGGUCGGCCACACUGGGACUGAGACACGGCCCAGACUCCUACGGGAGGCAGCAGUGGGGAAUCUUCCGCAAUGGGCGAAAGCCUGACGGAGCGACGCCGCGUGGGUGACGAAGGUCUUCGGAUCGUAAAGCCCUGUCAAGGGUGACGAUAAUGACGGUAGCCCUAAAGGAAGCCCCGGCUAACUACGUGCCAGCAGCCGCGGUAACACGUAGGGGGCGAGCGUUGUCCGGAAUUACUGGGCGUAAAGGGCGUGUAGGCGGCUUAUCAAGUCAGGCGUGAAAUUUUGAGGCUCAACCUUAAGACUGCGUCUGAAACUGGUAAGCUUGAGGGCAGGAGAGGAGAGCGGAAUUUCCAGUGUAGCGGUGAAAUGCGUAGAUAUUGGAAGGAACACCAGUGGCGAAAGCGGCUCUCUGGACUGUACCUGACGCUGAGGCGCGAAAGCGUAGGGAGCAAACAGGAUUAGAUACCCUGGUAGUCCACGCUGUAAACGAUGGAUGCUAGGUGUUGGGGGUAUCGACCCCUCCAGUGCCGCAGCAAACGCAAUAAGCAUCCCGCCUGGGAAGU
This 886-nucleotide ribosomal RNA is filed under the name uncultured Clostridia bacterium. Its description in RNAcentral is "bacterial SSU rRNA". It matches the Rfam family "Bacterial small subunit ribosomal RNA", at positions 27 to 881 of the family's 1533-position model. Lineage: Bacteria; Bacillati; Bacillota; Clostridia. The record is from RNAcentral.